This 686-nucleotide ribosomal RNA is filed under the name uncultured Staphylococcus sp. RNAcentral describes it as "bacterial SSU rRNA". It matches the Rfam family "Bacterial small subunit ribosomal RNA", at positions 63 to 730 of the family's 1533-position model. The record is from RNAcentral. Lineage: Bacteria; Bacillati; Bacillota; Bacilli; Caryophanales; Staphylococcaceae.
CGAGCGAACAGACGAGGAGCUUGCUCCUCUGACGUUAGCGGCGGACGGGUGAGUAACACGUGGAUAACCUACCUAUAAGACUGGGAUAACUUCGGGAAACCGGAGCUAAUACCGGACUAAUAUAUUGAACCGCAUGGUUCAAUAGUGAAAGACGGUUUUGCUGUCACUUAUAGAUGGAUCCGCGCCGCAUUAGCUAGUUGGUAAGGUAACGGCUUACCAAGGCAACGAUGCGUAGCCGACCUGAGAGGGUGAUCGGCCACACUGGAACUGAGACACGGUCCAGACUCCUACGGGAGGCAGCAGUAGGGAAUCUUCCGCAAUGGGCGAAAGCCUGACGGAGCAACGCCGCGUGAGUGAUGAAGGUCUUCGGAUCGUAAAACUCUGUUAUUAGGGAAGAACAAAUGUGUAAGUAACUAUGCACGUCUUGACGGUACCUAAUCAGAAAGCCACGGCUAACUACGUGCCAGCAGCCGCGGUAAUACGUAGGUGGCAAGCGUUAUCCGGAAUUAUUGGGCGUAAAGCGCGCGUAGGCGGUUUUUUAAGUCUGAUGUGAAAGCCCACGGCUCAACCGUGGAGGGUCAUUGGAAACUGGAAAACUUGAGUGCAGAAGAGGAAAGUGGAAUUCCAUGUGUAGCGGUGAAAUGCGCAGAGAUAUGGAGGAACACCAGUGGCGAAGGCGACUUUCU